GAUGAACGCUGGCGGCGUGCCUAAUACAUGCAAGUCGAGCGAACGGACGAGAAGCUUGCUUCUCUGAUGUUAGCGGCGGACGGGUGAGUAACACGUGGAUAACCUACCUAUAAGACUGGGAUAACUUCGGGAAACCGGAGCUAAUACCGGAUAAUAUUUUGAACCGCAUGGUUCAAAAGUGAAAGACGGUCUUGCUGUCACUUAUAGAUGGAUCCGCGCUGCAUUAGCUAGUUGGUGAGGUAACGGCUUACCAAGGCAACGAUGCAUAGCCGACCUGAGAGGGUGAUCGGCCACACUGGAACUGAGACACGGUCCAGACUCCUACGGGAGGCAGCAGUAGGGAAUCUUCCGCAAUGGGCGAAAGCCUGACGGAGCAACGCCGCGUGAGUGAUGAAGGUCUUCGGAUCGUAAAACUCUGUUAUUAGGGAAGAACAUAUGUGUAAGUAACUGUGCACAUCUUGACGGUACCUAAUCAGAAAGCCACGGCUAACUACGUGCCAGCAGCCGCGGUAAUACGUAGGUGGCAAGCGUUAUCCGGAAUUAUUGGGCGUAAAGCGCGCGUAGGCGGUUUUUUAAGUCUGAUGUGAAAGCCCACGGCUCAACCGUGGAGGGUCAUUGGAAACUGGAAAACUUGAGUGCAGAAGAGGAAAGUGGAAUUCCAUGUGUAGCGGUGAAAUGCGCAGAGAUAUGGAGGAACACCAGUGGCGAAGGCGACUUUCUGGUCUGUAACUGACGCUGAUGUGCGAAAGCGUGGGGAUCAAACAGGAUUAGAUACCCUGGUAGUCCACGCCGUAAACGAUGAGUGCUAAGUGUUAGGGGGUUUCCGCCCCUUAGUGCUGCAGCUAACGCAUUAAGCACUCCGCCUGGGGAGUACGACCGCAAGGUUGAAACUCAAAGGAAUUGACGGGGACCCGCACAAGCGGUGGAGCAUGUGGUUUAAUUCGAAGCAACGCGAAGAACCUUACCAAAUCUUGACAUCCUUUGACAACUCUAGAGAUAGAGCUUUCCCCUUCGGGGGACAAAGUGACAGGUGGUGCAUGGUUGUCGUCAGCUCGUGUCGUGAGAUGUUGGGUUAAGUCCCGCAACGAGCGCAACCCUUAAGCUUAGUUGCCAUCAUUAAGUUGGGCACUCUAAGUUGACUGCCGGUGACAAACCGGAGGAAGGUGAGGAUGACGUCAAAUCAUCAUGCCCCUUAUGAUUUGGGCUACACACGUGCUACAAUGGACAAUACAAAGGGCAGCGAAACCGCGAGGUCAAGCAAAUCCCAUAAAGUUGUUCUCAGUUCGGAUUGUAGUCUGCAACUCGACUACAUGAAGCUGGAAUCGCUAGUAAUCGUAGAUCAGCAUGCUACGGUGAAUACGUUCCCGGGUCU
This 1372-nucleotide ribosomal RNA is filed under the name uncultured bacterium. RNAcentral's name for it is "bacterial SSU rRNA". It matches the Rfam family "Bacterial small subunit ribosomal RNA", at positions 28 to 1381 of the family's 1533-position model. The record is from RNAcentral.